RNAcentral lists this ribosomal RNA (305 nucleotides) under uncultured bacterium. RNAcentral describes it as "partial 16S ribosomal RNA". It matches the Rfam family "Bacterial small subunit ribosomal RNA", at positions 508 to 808 of the family's 1533-position model. The record is from RNAcentral.
ACAGCAGUCGCCGCGGUAAUGCGAAGGGGGCUAGCGUUGUUCGGAUUUACUGGGCGUAAAGGGCGCGUAGGCGGGCGAAUAAGUCAGGGGUGAAAUCCCAAGGCUCAACCUUGGAGCUGCCUUUGAUACUGUUUGUCUUGAGUUCGAGAGAGGUAAGUGGAACUGCGAGUGUAGAGGUGAAAUUCGUAGAUAUUGGGAAGAACACCGGUGGCGAAGGCGGCGACCUGGUCCUUUUACUGACGCUGAGGCGCGAAAGCGUGGGGAGCAAACAGGAUUAGAUACCCCCGUAGUCCCUGUCUCUUAUU